Molecule: RNA transcript, 1144 nt
Organism: Hydra vulgaris (swiftwater hydra)
Lineage: Eukaryota; Metazoa; Cnidaria; Hydrozoa; Anthoathecata; Hydridae
Gene name: vesicle transport through interaction with t-SNAREs homolog 1A
Source: RefSeq, a predicted model, not a curated record
UAAUAGAUGAUAAGAUCAGAAGAAAGUAGAACACAUUAAAAUGUCUCAAUUGUUUUCCGAUUAUGAAAAACACUUUGGCAUAAUUACAGCAGAUAUUGUUGCCAAAACAAAUAAAUUACCAAAUGUUCAAGGAGAUGAAAAAAGAGAACUGGUGACAAGUCUGGAUCAAAAGUUUGAUGAUGCUCAAGAACUAUUAGAGCAGAUGGACCUCGAAGUUAGAACUCUUUCGGCAGAGCACAAACAAAAAUGCAGUGUCAAACUAAAAAACUAUAAGACUGAAUUAAAAAAUCUUGAACAAAAUAUGAAAAAAGCCAAGUUUGCUUUUUCUAAUCAGGAUCUAUUACGAUCAGAACUGUUAAGAGGUGAUGAUGGUCCUCACUCAGAAGAUCAGCGAUCUAAUCUUUUGGAUAAUUCAACUAGACUGGAGAGAUCAAAUAGAAGGUUAGAAGAAGGAUACAAAAUAUGUUUGGAAACAGAACAAAUUGGUCACGAAAUUAUGGACAAUUUAUCUAGAGAUCGCGAAACGAUGACUCGAACGAGAGAUCGGCUUCGUACAACAAAUACAGAUCUUUCAAAAAGUUCAAGAAUUCUAACGGCAAUGAUGAGAAGGUGAAUUUAUGUUGUUUAUCUCGCUGUUCUCGUUUUUAACAGUUUAUUAAUGAAGUCAGUGGCCUUUCUAGAAAAGGGUUAUUCAAAAUCGAAUUUUACUUGUUUUUGUAUGUUUGUGCCUCAUUUCAGUAAUAAUUGUUGUCAUUUAUUUCUCUGUAAGAAAGUAAUAUAACAAGCAGUCACUGUUUGUUAUAUAAAAGUAAAAUAAGCGAAACUAUAUUUUCUUCUGUUUAAAUAAAAGAAGCAUUAUUUUUAUACGAAUCUAUUGCUGCAGUUAAACUCUCAAGCCAAACAUUCUAAAAUCUUUUAAUAUUCAAAAAUAUUUGCUUUGAAACACUGAAUAUUUUGGAUAUUUACUGUAAUUAUUUAUAAAUAUCUUUUAGAUAUUUUUGCACAAUACCAUCAAUAUACCAUCAUUAAUAUCAUUUUACUACUUUUUUAUUUUAUUAAUAAUUUAUUUACUAGUUUGAUUAAUUCAUCAACCUGUAGGUUCUAUAAAUUUAUGUAAAAUAUAUUUAAAAAUGUAGUUUUUUAA